This 1017-nucleotide long non-coding RNA is filed under the name Pan troglodytes (chimpanzee). Its description in RNAcentral is "lincRNA". The record is from RNAcentral. Lineage: Eukaryota; Metazoa; Chordata; Mammalia; Primates; Hominidae.
AUGCAAAUUCGAAAUGAAAGCCCGGAAACCCCGGAACUAGAACUGGUAUCUCUUCAACUACCUGUGAAAACUGAUGUGAUGAAAAGGGGAAUUUGAAGGAGCCAUUCCAGAAGACAGGGCGAAAACUGAAGUGCAAUCAGGGCCAAGAAAAACAGAAAUAGCAGGACCUGGAGUUGCAUAGGUUGAAUAGUUGAAUAGGCUGCUCUCCUCAGCUGGCAGGAAACCUGGCAGCCUCCUGGUGCCCAAGGACUGAAAACCUUAGAAGCACCUGGAGUUGGCAGCCUUGGCAUGGUCAGGUUGGCACCUCUGGAGGUGCCCAGGCUUCCCUGGCAGCAUUGUGAGCAGUGGAUGGUGUUGAAGGGCAGCCAGAGGAGGAAUGGAACACAUGCUCCUUGCUAACCACACGGACAAGGCCACGUUCACAGGUACACAAAGGACGGGGGUGGAAGGCCACCUUCGAUGGGUGCAUCCUCCACGAUGACCUGCUAACAAAGGUGCAUGGAUUUCAGAGUCUGAUUGGCCUACAACAGCAUUUGGCUUGUGGAGACAGUGGUUCCCUGAUGAAAAACUGCCAUGAUGUAAGGAAGAGCCUGUCAGAGCGAGGCUGGGGUGCUGCGUGUUGGGGAGGUGGAGGUGUGGCUUCCCGGGAGAAGCUCCACCCGCUGGCUGAGUCUGGCACGUGAACCAGUCUGUGAGGGGAUGGAUGUGGGUGUAAUGGGGGCAAUUACAGUAGGAAGGAGCCCACGUGGAGCCUGCAUUCUCUGGGACAGGCUAAGGCCCAGAUCCUACCUUCCCAGGUGGCUGGAUGGGUCGUAGAUGUACGAACCGGUCCCCUCAUUUUCUGAUUGCCCUGUGCUUAACGUUUCUGUACCUUUACUGAGGCUCUUUCCUCCAACUCCAGUGCCCAGAACCCCCUUCUCCUGAACAUGAAUGCCUGUCCAUGGAAGUUCGAGUCUCUGUCUCUCACCCAGGCUGGAGUGCAGUGAUGCAAUCUCAACUCACUGCAACCUCUGCCUC